CUGUGGGCAUAGACGACAAGUUCUCACAAUGUCUAAACAAGUUCUUCGAAUAUUUUCCCUUUUUUGAAACGUAUUUUAUUGUGAUUUCGUCUUGCAUGAUUGAAAAAUAUUGGUGAUAAAAACGUCGUUUGGUUCAAACUAUGUGCUGCAUCCUCAAGUGCAUGCUCCUGGUCAUCCCCAUUACCGUGGCCAUCCUGCUGCUGAUCACGUGGGCGGGACAGACCAUCUUCAAGAAGACCGUCACGACCACCACCACUACCAAGGCCGCCGGCGGCAUUAUGGAAGUUCUUAAGAACAUUGCUGGUUGACGGCUUAACAAUACAGGGUGUUGCAAAAUUGGUAUACUAAGCCGAAACCUACAUGUGCAGCAUGUUAUAUCUAAGCCCGAAACUGAAAUCAGAAUUAGGAAAUUCGCGAAAAAAACUUUUUUUUUUUCCAUAGUAAAAGUCACGUGAAAUUUUCAAAUUCUGAUUUCAGUUUCGGGCUCAGAUAUAACAUGCUGCACAUGUAGGUUUCGGCUUAAUAUACCCUUUUUGCAACACCUUGUAUAAGCACAAGAUGGAGCGUCAGUCCAAAAGAAACAGCUCGACAAAAUACUAACAGCACUUCUACCACUGAGCUCUUUAUUUUCUGUUGGAAGUUUAUUUAAUGCUUUUUUAGUAUUUGAUACACCAUCCUGUUAAUAUAUUGUUAAUCUAAGGGUGACGGUAAUGAUAAAACGGACUAAAUUUUGUUAUAAACUCUGUGCUACAAUAACUACAAUCGAAAGGACUGAUGAAGGGAUAAAGCAAUAUGAUACUGUUGUAUUUUUUAAGAUUACUUAUUUCUUUGUACAAUAUUUUGUUAUGUAGUUUUAGAAUAGAAUAGAAUAGAUAUUCUUUAUUUGUACACAGAAACAUGGAUAAAAUUACAAAAAAUACUUAAUCUAACACAUAUGUACAAAUGGCGGCCUUAUCGCUUAAAGCGAUUUCUUCCAGGCAACCAUUGGGUGGAAGGAUAUUGCGAUGCAAAGGGUUAAGUGUACUAGGAAUAAAGAAUAUACAUUAAAUAUUUAAUAUACUUAGCUUUAAAUAUUUAUAUACUAUGUACCUAUAAUAUACUUACAAUAUAUAUAUAUAUAUAUAUAUUAUAAUAUAUAUCAAUAUAUAAUACAAUACAUGCCACGUUACUUAUAUAUAAUAAUAAGCAUAUUAAAGAGGAUAUAGCGAUCUGUCUGUCAAAAACAGUCAUUCAAGAGCCGAGGAAGUGGUCUUUUAGCAUUCUUUUAAAGGAGACCAAUGACGGUGCUUUCCGUAUACUAAGUGGGAGAUCGUUCCAUAAAGUGAUAGCUUGUAUCAUGAAGGAGUCACUAAAGAAUUUCGUAGUAUGGGGUGGAAUGUUCAGCCGUAGGUUUUCUGAGGAACGCAAUCCCCGGCUGUGAGUUUUAGUUAUUAAUUUAUAAUAUAUAUACGUACUGUUAUUUUCGUA
Molecule: long non-coding RNA, 1467 nt
Organism: Plutella xylostella (diamondback moth)
Lineage: Eukaryota; Metazoa; Arthropoda; Insecta; Lepidoptera; Plutellidae
Source: RefSeq, a predicted model, not a curated record